UCAGCAGCCGCGGUAAUACGGAGGGGGCAAGCGUUGUUCGGAUUUACUGGGCGUAAAGGGUGUGUAGGCGGCCGUGUAAGUCUGGUGUGAAAUCUCCAUCGCUUAACGAGGAGAGUGCACUGGAAACUGCAUGGCUCGAGUAUGGUAGAGGCAAGCGGAAUUCCUGGUGUAGCGGUGGAAUGUGUAGAUAUCAGGAAGAACACCGGUGGCGAAGGCGGCUUGCUGGGCCAUCACUGACGCUGAGACACGAAAGCGUGGGGAGCAAACGGGAUUAGAUACCCCGGUAGUCCACGCUGUAAACGGUGCGCACUAGUUGUGAGGGGUAUCGACCCCCCUUGUGACGAAGUUAACACAUUAAGUGCGCCGCCUGGGGAGUACGGCCGCAAGGUUGAAACUCAAAGGAAUUGACGGGGGCCCGCACAAGA
RNAcentral lists this ribosomal RNA (425 nucleotides) under uncultured bacterium. RNAcentral's name for it is "bacterial SSU rRNA". It matches the Rfam family "Bacterial small subunit ribosomal RNA", at positions 508 to 930 of the family's 1533-position model. The record is from RNAcentral.